Molecule: long non-coding RNA, 293 nt
Organism: Macrosteles quadrilineatus (aster leafhopper)
Lineage: Eukaryota; Metazoa; Arthropoda; Insecta; Hemiptera; Cicadellidae
Exons: 3
Source: RefSeq, a predicted model, not a curated record
AAAUGUAAUCAUCAAGAUGGAACAAUUUUUGGACUCUAUUUUCGAAAUUCUACCUCAAGUGUGCAUCGCAGGAAGUGUCACGCUUCUAACCGGUGUCGGCAUCUACUCCACCAUCAUGGGAACCAACCAUCCAUCACGACCACCCAUCCCUCCACCACUUCCGGGACUCUUCAUACCACAAGGACCCCUGCAGAACCACCCCGCUGGUGACGUAGUCAUGCAACACUAGACAAGCCAAAUACGAUUAAAAAUUUUAAAACAAUGACAGUAGAAGAAUAGUAUCAAGAUUACUC